CCUACGGGAGGCAGCAGUGGGGGAUAUUGCACAAUGGGGGAAACCCUGAUGCAGCGACGCCGCGUGUGGGAAGACGGUCCUCUGGAUUGUAAACCACUGUCCCCAGGGACGAAGAUGACGGUACCUGGGGAGGAAGCUCCGGCUAACUACGUGCCAGUAGCCGCGGUAAUACGUAGGGAGCGAGCGUUGUCCGGAAUUACUGGGUGAAAAGGGAGCGUAGGCGGGAAUGCAAGUUGGGUGUCAAAUCUACCGGCUCAACCGGUAGCCGCACUCAAAACUGCAGUUCUUGAGUGAAGUAGAGGCAGGCGGAAUUCCUAGUGUAGCGGUGAAAUGCGUAGAUAUUAGGAGGAACACCAGUGGCGAAGGCGGCCUGCUGGGCUUUUACUGACGCUGAGGCUCGAAAGUGUGGGGAGCAAACAGGAUUAGAUACCCCGGUAGUC
RNAcentral lists this ribosomal RNA (440 nucleotides) under uncultured bacterium. RNAcentral describes it as "partial 16S ribosomal RNA". It matches the Rfam family "Bacterial small subunit ribosomal RNA", at positions 338 to 795 of the family's 1533-position model. The record is from RNAcentral.